This 1719-nucleotide ribosomal RNA is filed under the name Triticum aestivum (bread wheat). Its description in RNAcentral is "partial small subunit ribosomal RNA". The record is from RNAcentral. Lineage: Eukaryota; Viridiplantae; Streptophyta; Magnoliopsida; Poales; Poaceae.
AUCUACCCUGCCUACCGACCGGUCAAAUGGCUCACUCCAGACUAUUGAAACUUCUCUUCCUGUCCCAAUUCGACGGGUCGAUGUUCCUCUGCUGCAGUUACCGUUGCGCAAGCUGGACGUUCAAACAUCGUCUCAAAACAACGCCACGGACAUCAGCAACAGGAGAAAUUUAUGGGGGACAACUUAAAGAAGGUGUAUAGAGGAAUAGUGCUGUUCCAAUAUGACUACUUUGAAGCCAAUAGUUCCUACAUGGUAUAUAGAUGACUCAUUACGAUUAUCAAACGAGAAACAACAGGUUAUGAAGAUUUAUACCUAACCAACGAGGUGAAGUACACUGAAGCACUCUCCACCCUAAUCUAAAGGACAAGUCAAAUACACAAAGUUCUUUCUAUAAACCUAUUAAACUCUAACAGUAAAUAUAAACCUACAAGUAAGAAGAGGCGCCCAUAUAAGGGUGUAACUUGACCUAAUAACGAUACUAAGCCAACUAAGUCUGUAUAACAUAGAACUUACCGAAAGUGGCGACCCGUUUAGUUCGCUACCUUCUUAGUACCGUGAACACUACAAUAGACGAUGAGUAAACGCCCGGAACGCCAACAGCAAGAGUACCGAGACGGUAAGCGCAAAUACGUCCGACUCCUCCGCUCGGUAGUCACACUCAAAGUCCUUCUCUACUGUUGUGUUCACUAGAACUAACCAUUGUACAAACCUUAACAACACGUACGUACCAUGCUUGUACACGUUGUGAUUGUUUUGCUUUUGUUUUCACUCGAACACCAAACGCCACGAAAGGGAGACUUAAAAGAGUAAUCAUACAGGUCUUUCCGUAUAAUCACCUUCUCGUAUGUUCUUUUGGAAUUGUACAAUCCUUGAAAAAGUACAUGAUCUUCCAACAACAUGUCUUUAAAAGAAGACUUUGGUAGAGUAUUAGAAUCUAAAGGGUAAUCAACCAACAACCAGUCAAGAUUUUGAUAGACAUGUAAAACGGGUUCCUUAAACAAAAGAAUAUCAAGUAACUAAUAAAACCUAAUUGACUUACACUAGAAGGGUUAGAUUAUAUACAUGAAAAUCGAGAUUCCUGAUCGUUCUGAAUUACUACGUCCAACACUAACACUUACUUCAUGGUCAACAACGAUUAAAGCAUAAAAACAAACAUGUUGAGUCCACAAACUACGUAAAGAAGAGGUCUUUUCCCUAUUCAUAGACUCCAGUAUAGCCUAGCUCACUAUCGUCUCCCAGAGUCCGGACUACUUAGCUUACAACUGCACCCUGGUCAAAAACACUACAGGUCGAGUAGCAGGUGACUCCGUGGCGUCUUCUACCAGGUUCCGUUUCAAUCCGUAGAAGGACAUCACACCAGUUACGGUACAACCUGUGACGGUUCAAGGAGACACUACGUUAAAGUUCUUACCUUUUCCAUCGUCUUGUUCCGUCACGAUAUCGUUGACGACACCUUCCCCAGCUACCCCUUUAUCUAAACGUCUAUAUCAGAAAAGGUCAAAGAGUUCCGGUGGGUACUGUAUAAGAUAAGUCCGGAGAAACUAAUUGAUCGACUACAAUAUAAAACCCAGGAAGUCCAGGAGUGUGUGAGUAUCUUUUAGAAGCUCUAGUAUACAAGUUCGGAAGGAACAAACAGGUGAUAGUACUAACUUUUAUCGUCCAUUUAACCAUGACGGUUCUUAUGUAUACUACGCUUUUAAAACAUACUGACUUGGUAAA